RNAcentral lists this ribosomal RNA (215 nucleotides) under Scutellospora calospora. RNAcentral's name for it is "partial small subunit ribosomal RNA". The stretch from base 41 to 215 matches the Rfam family "Eukaryotic small subunit ribosomal RNA", at positions 686 to 863 of the family's 1831-position model. The record is from RNAcentral. Lineage: Eukaryota; Fungi; Glomeromycota; Glomeromycetes; Diversisporales; Gigasporaceae.
GGGUUCUACCGUUGGUCGGGCUAUCCAGUCUGUACUAGCGUGUAGAAUCCCUACCUUCUGGGGAACCAUCAUGUUAUUAAUUUAGCGUGGUGGGAAACCAGGACCUUUACCUUGAAAAAAUUAGAGUGUUCAAAGCAGGCUUACGUCUGAAUACAUUAGCAUGGAAUAAUAAAAUAGGACGGUGGUCCUGUUUUGUUGGUUUCUGAAUCACCGUA